CCCUAUGGGGCGCGACCCUUACAGUCCGACGUCCUUCUCCACAUUCAAGCAUCUUCAAUUCUCACGCAAGCCGCUCCCCAGACGUUGACAGCCUCAUCGUCAAUCGAUGGAAACCAAGCCCGAGGCGUAAUUUCGCGGGAUGCGCAAUGUUACUCGUUCAGGAUUCAAUCCGGGUGCACUGGUGUGAGUCGUUCAGGCUUGCAUCUCGCAAAAAGCCGCGGAUGCAAUCCUGAACCUGUGUAACGAAUUGUUGCGGGCAAAGUGCGCCCGUCUCGAAUUCGGUCAAAAGUCAGUCCUUCCCCGACUCCUCGUGACUCUAUGCGUUUGAUCUGCGAAUCCUGGAGCACUCCUCAGGCCACGAAAUGGUGAACACAGGAUUGGCGGGGGAGC
This 390-nucleotide ribosomal RNA is filed under the name uncultured prokaryote. RNAcentral's name for it is "partial 16S ribosomal RNA". The record is from RNAcentral.